RNAcentral lists this ribosomal RNA (259 nucleotides) under uncultured bacterium. Its description in RNAcentral is "partial 16S ribosomal RNA". It matches the Rfam family "Bacterial small subunit ribosomal RNA", at positions 337 to 612 of the family's 1533-position model. The record is from RNAcentral.
GCCUACGGGAGGCAGCAGUGGGGGAUAUUGCACAAUGGGGGGAACCCUGAUGCAGCGACGCCGCGUGGGUGAAGGAGCGUUUCGGCGCGUAAAGCCCUAUCGGCAGGGAAGAAGGGGGACGGUACCUGACUAAGAAGCCCCGGCUAACUACGUGCCAGCAGCCGCGGUAAUACGUAGGGGGGAAGCGUUAUCCGGAUUUACUGGGUGUAAAGGGGGCGCAGACGGCAGCGCAAGCCAGGAGUGAAAGCCCGGGGGCCAA